This 1383-nucleotide long non-coding RNA is filed under the name Marmota monax (woodchuck). Lineage: Eukaryota; Metazoa; Chordata; Mammalia; Rodentia; Sciuridae. The record is from RNAcentral.
GAUUGGGAUUAUCGAAGAAAGGCUGAGGCAGGAGGAUCACAAGUUCAAGGCCAGCCUCAGCAACUUAGCAAAAGUCUCAUCAAUUUAGUGAGACCCUGUUUCAAAAUAGAAAAUAAAAAUGACUGGGGAUGUAACUGGUUUUCAUCCUCACCACCAAGUGAUGAUGAUGAUGAUGAUGAUGAUGAUGAUAAUUUAUGUGACUUUUUCCCUUGCUCUAGGAGAUGAAAAAAAUAAUGUCUUCUGCAAGGUAAUUAACUUUAUCAUUUUUUUCCAGUACUGGAGGUUGAACCCAGAGCCUGUGCAUGCUAAGCAAGUGUUCAAUCACUGAGUUACAACCCCAGCCCCAAAUUUUAUUAUCUUUUUAAAAACUGUUCCCAGUUGUAACUGGAAAACUUACUGACUAUGCUUAUGAGGGGGGAAUUCUCUUCAAAGUGAAGAUCAAGAUUAAAGUUAUCCUCCAAUUCAUGAGGGUGGCCACUCAGAGCUGUUUUUGGUGACCUGUUGCCAACUUCCAUCUAUCCUAUGUGGAUAAUUUAUCCUACCUCAUCCCAUCUCCUUGGGAAGAAGUAAGAUACAGUUGUUAAGACUUUGGGGUCAAAAGCUCCAUCACUUUCCAGGGGAACUUUUUAGGCAAAUUAUUUACAGUAUAUGAACCCUAAUGUCUGCAUUCAAAAUGUGAAAAUGCUUUGUUUGUCACAGCCUUCCUUAGAGGUUAAAUGAGAUCACAUCUAUCUGGUACCUUUGCAUUAAUGGUUGUUACUAAUACACAGUCUCUGUGAAAUCCUCAUCCAGUUGAAAAAUAGGCUUUAAAAAUUCUCCAACUUCUCAAAGAAAACAUGCCCUCUUUUUUUUUUAAAUGGAGGCACAUGCUGGGGAAAAAAGAUUUUUCUGGAAAAGACAUAGCUUUAUGAAAGGAACUGAAAAUUCUCUCCUUCUUUCUCAGCUCCCCAAAUUGAACUAUUGGUCUUGUUUGGCAACUCAGCUACACAGGAACGCAGUGUAUUAGGCUGGACCAUAAAGGCCAAUAGAACCUGAAAAUAUAACCUGUUCCUACAGAGAUGAUAGAGGACUAACCCAUGUUGCCCCUGGCAGAACAUUUUGUUUAGCCACAAUGUUUUUCAAAGCUACAGAACACUCUAGUUGUUCUGUUGUAUACAAUGUGCUUAUUCUUUGGCCUUACUAGCUCUAUAUUAAAGCUUAUUUGUCUACCCCAUGGACACCUCUAACACUUGCACACACACACACACACACACACACCCAAUAUACACACUAAUGCUUAAAUUGAACAAGGAGACUAUAAAUAGAAAACAACUCUUCUCAAGAUAAUAAAUAAAGGAUCAGCUUAGAUUUCCCUCGCCAACUGUGAUUCUAUUGGAGUUCCUC